Podarcis lilfordi (Lilford's wall lizard) is the source of this 191-nucleotide non-coding RNA. The record is from the annotation of a GenBank genome assembly. NCBI's taxonomy places the organism in Eukaryota, Metazoa, Chordata, Lepidosauria, Squamata, Lacertidae.
GAUAGCUCAGUUGGUAGAGCAUGAAACUCUUAAUCUCAGGGUCCAGUUGGGCAAAAGUUUCCUGCAUUGCAGGGGGUUGGGUUAGAUGACCCCUAUGGUCCCUUCCAACUCUAUGAAGAAACCAUCAGUUACUCAUAAAGUAAGUGUGCUUUGCAAACAGAAGGUCCCAGGUUCAAUCCCAGGUAGGACUG